AUGAUUUGGAGUCUGAUACCUGCCAAGAAAUUAGGACCCCAAAAGGAUACCCCAGGAAUAAAGAUGAACCAGGUUUGCUGGGCUCAGCCGGGCAGUUCCGCUGGACUUGCCGGGGGAUCACUUAUGAGCCAGAUAGGGGAGAUAAAUCACAAAAAUUCAGGCGCUUGCCACUGGGUGGUGUUUUCUAGGAGGGUGGGAUAUCCAGUCAUCUGGAACCUGUUGGUAUGUUCCCAUCUAGGUGAAUGCCAUCUUGCUUCUCAUCUUGCAUAACCAACCACUAAGAAAGGAGGCACGUCAUGUAGUAGACUUCUUUGAAUUUUGAUACCUUGUAGAGCACAUUUGAGUUUACUGCUCUCAUAUGUUUACUGAGUAACCUAAAAGACCCAAUUUUGAGUAAGGCCUAAGCAGUGAUUCUCAUUUUGUUUUCAGAACAUUUUGAGUCAUGAACUUUUGUCUGUGUGGAUUAUGCAUAUUUAUACUUUUCAUGUUAGAGGUUAAAUGGAAAAAGUUAAAAAUUCAUAAACUGUGCUUCCUGGAAUUGAUACUUACAUAUUUUUUUCUUUUUCUUUCUUUUUUUUUUUUUUGAGAUAGUGUCUUGCUCUGUUGCCCAGGCUGGAGUGCAGUGGCAUGAUCAUAGCUCACUGCAGCCUUGACCUUCUGGGUUCAAGUGAUCUUCUCACCUCAGCAGGGACCACAAGCGUAUGCCACCACGCCUGGCUAAUUUUUGUAUUUUUUGUAGAGAUGGAGUUUCACUGUGUUGUCCAGGCUGGUCUUGGACUCCUGAGAUCAAGUAGUCCACCUGUCUCAGUCUCCCGAAGUGCUGAGGUGCAGGCGUAAGCCACCGUGCCCGGCCCUGAUACUUGUAUUUUUCUAGUACCAGCUUAAAUGCUUUGACUUUGCCAUAUUUUCUCAUGGAGACUCCCAGGGCUUUUAAUGUCUCCAGAAUAUAUUUUUCCAUUUUCCUAAGACUAAGCUCCAAAAAAUCCACUAAAACAAUUCUGCAAGAAACAGAUGAAGAGGACUUUGAUGAAGGUGGUCAGAAUGAGAUGAGUGAGCAGGAAGAGGAGUGUGAGAAUAACUCCAGUGUGGCCAAAGACUAAAGACCUUGAAAAAUUGUGCAGUCUUGUGUGCCACGUUCACAUGAAGACGGGCCUAGAUUUUGGAACAGUCGAAGAAACAGUUCACAAAGGGUGCACUAAGGCUGAAUGGGGAACAAUUGUGGCAGAAAAGCAGAAUGAAGCCCCCAAAACCCAUUGUAUUUUGUCACCAU
This 1270-nucleotide long non-coding RNA is filed under the name Piliocolobus tephrosceles (Ugandan red Colobus). RNAcentral describes it as "lncRNA (ENSPTEG00000018873.1)". Lineage: Eukaryota; Metazoa; Chordata; Mammalia; Primates; Cercopithecidae. The record is from RNAcentral.